RNAcentral lists this ribosomal RNA (253 nucleotides) under uncultured bacterium. Its description in RNAcentral is "partial 16S ribosomal RNA". It matches the Rfam family "Bacterial small subunit ribosomal RNA", at positions 524 to 776 of the family's 1533-position model. The record is from RNAcentral.
UACGUAGGAUGCAAGCGUUGUCCGGAUUUAUUGGGCGUAAAGAGUUCGUAGGUGGUUCGUUAAGUCUGGUGUUAAAGACUGGGGCUCAACCCCGGGAAUGCCCUGGAUACUGGCGGACUGGAGUGAAGUAGAGGCAAGCGGAAUUCCCAGUGUAGCGGUGAAAUGCGUAGAUAUUGGGAAGAACACCGGUGGCGUAAGCGGCUUGCUGGGCUUUAACUGACACUGAGGAACGAAAGCUAGGGGAGCGAAUGGG